This 6732-nucleotide long non-coding RNA is filed under the name Homo sapiens (human). RNAcentral's name for it is "HSALNT0360050". Lineage: Eukaryota; Metazoa; Chordata; Mammalia; Primates; Hominidae. The record is from RNAcentral.
AUAGAUUGCAAGGGUUUAAUGAUGACAAAAACCUGUUUAUAGCACAGUCUAUUUCUUUCAUUUUCCUUGAAAAUACCAAACUGGUUGUUACAGAGACCCAAGGCUGAAAUAUUCCAAAGCAACGUUUCACUCAUCCUUCCUCCCAGAUUCUUUUCUCUGCUGCAGUCAAUUCCCCCUUUUUCCAUUUGUAGAGACAAAAGGGAACAUUCUAUAACCACUGGCCUCUGUCCAGGAACACAGGAGAAAAUGAAGCAAGGCAAACAACAGAGAAAAGUGAACAACAAAAGAACAAACUCAAACGAAACUGCUUAACAAUCCUACAGUGCAGACCUGGCAGAAAUAUAAAGCCCACAGUCAUGUCCUCCAGACUGGCUCUUCUGUCUGCUGAUUAGCUUUGAUACCAUCUUCAAUAGUUAGCCAGUGACUCCAGUGUCAGCAAAUUUCCUUCUUCUAUUAGAGACUCACCAUUCCACCAGAGGAGGGACCUCUGCAUUGGGGAAUUUACUUGCCAAUCAUCUCUCAAGUAGAUCCUGGAGACUUGGGGAUGAAAGAUGUUACCUAAAUACAAAGUGUUCUCAUCAAAUGCUUUUAUAAUGUAAAAUUAGCUAGGCUCAAAGGAGCAGGAAUAUGACUACAUUUAAUGUAAUUGUAUUUAUUGGCUUAGUUAUAAUUGGCAAAGUUCAUCCUGAAAUAUUUUCCAUGAAGUUAAGAGAGUUAAAUAUCUUGGAAACCCUCUCCUUAGACUCCCCUAUGCCCCUGGAUUCUAAAUUAUUUCUGAUAGAUGGAAACAUUUUAGUUCCUUUGCCUUUCAUUAAUCCAAUAUUUGAUGAUAGGCCCAUACUUCAGGGUUGCCCAACUCCGGGGGACCCUGUUCACAGGGCUGUCCCAUGGAAUUGUGCAACACAGGGUUCUGUAUGGAUCCAAAAGUGACUUUUUAAAACAAUUCUGUAUGAUGUUCUCAAUUUUUGAUAUGGCUAUUGGAAUUUAAUUCUGAUUAAAUAUGCUCAAGCUAUAGGGUCAUCUACAGUUGAGGAUCAUAGUGAUCAACACUUCAAAGUGUGCUAGACAUUACUAGUUGCUUGGGAUAUCAACAGGUAUUUUGUAAAAGAAAAGAUUCAUGACGUCAGCCUUGGCAAAUAAUUUAUGGCUAAGUCCUCAAAAGCAAUUGCAACAAAACCAAAAAUUGACAAGUGGGACCUAAUUAAACUAAAGAGCUUCUGCACAGCAAAAGAAACUAUCAACAGAGUAAACAGACAACCCACAGAAUGGGAGGGAACGUUCUCAAACUAUGCAUCCAACAAAGGUCUAACAUCCAGAAUCUAUAAAUAAACAAUUCAACAAGCAAAAAAUAAUCCCAUUAAAAAGUGGGCAAAGGACAUAAACAGACUCUCCUCAAAAGAAGACACACAAGUGGGCAACAGACAUUUGAAAAAAUCCUCAGCAUCACUGAUCAUCAGUGAAAGGCAAAUCAAAACCACAAUGGCAUAUACUGUCUCAUACCCAUCAGAAUGGCUAUUAUUUAAAAGUCAAAAAAUAACAGCUACUGGCAAGGCUUCGAAGAAAAGGGAACACUUACACACUGUGCGUGGGAAUGUAAAUUAGUUUAGCCGCUGUGGAAAGCAGUUCGGAGAUUUCUCAAAGAACUCAGAACUACUAUUUAACCUAGCAUCCUAUUACUGGGUUUAUAUCCAAAGGAUAAUACAUUGUUCUAUCAAAAAGACACUUGAACUUGAAUGUUCAUUGCAGUAUUAUUCACAAUAGCAAAGACAUGUAAUUGACCCAGGUGCUGAUCAAUGGUGGACUAGAUAAAGAAAAUCUGGUACAUACACACCACGAAAUACUACACAACCAUAAAAAAGAAUGAAAUCAUGUCCUUUGCAGCAAUAUAGAUGCAGCUGGAAGCCAUUAUUCUAAGCAAAUUAAUGCAGAAACAGAAAAUCAAAUACCACAUGUUCUCACAAGUGGGAGCUAAACAUUGGGUACACAUGGACAUAAAGAUGGGAACACAGACAUUGGGGGUUACUAGAGGGUGAGGGUUGAAAAACUACAUAUUGGGUACUAUGCCCAGUACCUGGGUGACAGGAUCAUUUGUACCUCAAACCUCAGCACCAUGCAGUAUACCUGUGUAACAAACCUGCACAUGUAUCCCCUGAAAAGUUGAAAUUAUAAAAAAGUAGAAAAACUCCAUAAUUAAAAUUAAAACUCAAUUUAGGAGAUAGUGAUUGAGUAAAGUUAAGCAGCUCUUCCUAUUGCAAGACUCUUUCUGGUCUUAAGUAUGCCAAUAUCUUUAAGAAUUUCCAAGGGGGAAGCAGAAUAUGCAAUGUUCACACAUUGUUGAACACAGAAGUGCCACCCUCACUGUCUUUGUUGUCCCUUGUCAGGAUAUCUUAUAGAGCCAGCAGUCUGUGGUAAGUGCACACUACUGUGCUAUUAUUGAAGUACCUGAGGCAUCCCAUCUAGGCCAGUGGUUCUCAAACUUCAGCAUGCAUCAGUGCCACCUGGAGAACUUAUUAAAACACAAUUCCUGAGCCUAUCCUGAGAGAUUCUGAUUCAGUAGGUCCAGGGUGGGGCCCCAAAAUUUACUUAUUUCUAAUAAGUUCAUAGGUGCUGCUGCUGCUGCUAGUGCAGAGACUAUACUUUGAGAAGCAGGGGCGUAGCAGGAUUUAGUGAUUCCCCAGAAAGAAUAAUGACCUGGAGGGAAAGGAGUGGUUUUCUAGUCACAAGGCCUGUUCUUUUGGAAUAAUGAAUGCACUAUUUCCCCACCAAAGCAUCAUGGUGACAGGAUACUUGAUUUUUAAAGGCCAGGGUUGAGGGCUUAAAGGAGAAGACGAGAUCUGACCUGGGAGCACAAUUAACUGGGUAGUGACAGAAGCUAUGGUAGAAGCUGGGUAGUUACAGAAGCUAUGGGAGUCUGUUUAGCACAGGAGUUGGGAGGACUAGCUUUGUUGUCAGGCAAAUCGUCUCUCAAGCUUCAAUUUCCCCAUCUGUCUUAUGGGUAUCAUACCUGCUGUAUUAGUCCAUUCUUGCACUGCUGUAAAUAAAUACAUGAAACUGGGUAAUUUAUAAAGAAAAGAGGUUUAAUUGGCUCAUGGUUCCACAGGCUGUACAGGAGGCUGGGGAGGCUUCAGGAAACUUACAAUCAUGGCAGAAGGCAAAGGGGAAGCUGGCACGUCUUAUAUGGCUGGAGCAGGAGGAAGAGAGCAAACAAGGACAUGCUACACACUUUUAAACAACCAGAUCUCUUGAGAACUCACUCAUGAACAUGAGAACAGUCCCAAGGGAGAAAUCUGCCCCAAUAAUCCAAUCACCUCCCACUAGUCCCCUUCUCUCACAAUAGGGAUUACAAUUCAACAUGAGAUUUGGGUGGGGACACAAAUCCAAACCAUAUCACCCGCUAUGAUUGUGGGAGGAUCAAUCAAAUCAGCCAGCAGGUGGGAAGCACUUAGCACAGUGUUAUGUGGCAGGCACUUAAUAAAUGCUUGCUGGAACUAAGGCAAGAAUUAGGUACAGGAAGUGAGACAUCAAGGCCAGACAACAAACCUGUUUUGCUGAGCAUUUUGUCCAAGUGCUCUUAAAAUACUUUUGUCUGGGAUUGGUUUCUUUGUGCAGGACUGGGAUUAGAACUAAGAGGCCCCUCCAUGGGGAACUGCAGGCUCCAGGAGCCAGGCUGCCAUCUCAGAAACCACCGGGUCUUUUGACUCUCCCAAAGCUAUCUAUAGCCCACAAUGACACACAGUAGGUGCUCACUAAGUAUCUGUUGAAGCAUCAAUGCACUUAACAGAGGGAUGUGAACAACCUGACUCCCAGGAGCUACUGAACAGUAAAACACUGAGGUUUGCUUUAGUCAGACAAGCUUUGUCUUCUCGGAACAAACAAAAAAACAAUAAAAAUAAAUCAGACAAGGCUUUGUUUCUGAAAGACACUGAACAAAUACACUUGAGGUAUUAUCUCAAGAAAAAUCAAUGUCUUUCCCAUCCACCGGUGUACGUGCCUUUGGCAUUGACUUGGAAACACUGAAACCCUCCUGGCCCAGUGCUCUCUUGAGUCCACAGGCUGAGAAUACCAGUUCCAGCAUUCCCAGCUGGCCAAGCCGAUGAGAACUCAUUUCCUUCUUGGAGUGCAGAGCCAUCACUGCAGGAAGAAAAAGUGGAUGAGGAAGACCCUUUGGACAUCGUCAAAAGAGGCAUUGUUAGCAAAUGACGGGGGGCCAGUCCUGAAAGCCUGUGAGGCUGUGAGCAACUCUCCCACCUGCUCUUCUCUGUCUGUCCUACUCCUCAUGACAAUGACUCUUAUCCUGGAGGGCCUGCAGUAGCGUUUGACACACGUACCUCAUUUAAUUCUCACAAGAGUUCUAUGAAACAGGCUAGGAUUUGGCAAACCAUUGUCAGCUACCUGUUUUUGUAAAUAUAGUUUUAUUGGAACAUAACCACCACAAUUUAUUUACAUAUUGUCUAUAGCUGCUUUUACUCUACAAUGGCAGAGUUGAGUAGUUGUGACAAAAGCUCUAGGCCCUGAAAAGUGCAAAAUAUUUAUUUUACUAUGUGGCCCUUUACAGCAAAGGUGUGUUGACCCCUCAGAUAAAUGGGACAUUGCUCCCACUUUACAUAUGAGGCACAGAAAAGCUAAGCGCAUUGACUGAGAUCAUUUGGGUUAUAAAUUAUAGUGUCAGAGAUGUCUCGGACCCAGAGACAACUGUUCCCUAUGCUUUUCUCCUCCCUACCUUAUAGCAUCUCCUACUCUUUCACAUUCAUUUGUUCCUACUAAAUGUGUCAGCCAAAAAGAACACAUUCAUUUGCACUGAACAAGACGUCUCAGGUUGACCAUCACACAGAAGUCAACAGGAGGUUCUGGAGACUUGCAGAAAGUGAUCAUCCAGCAUAUCCUCUCCUCUCCUCUCCUAGCCCCUAAGGACUGAUUCGUAGUCUGCCCAGAGUUUAUAAGAGAGACAGUCAUCCAACAUGAAUAGAGAUGGCCUGAGCAGGCAUGGGCUCUUUGAAAUUCGGAGAGAUCAGCUCAAAGAUACACUGGGAAGAACCAGGUUGCCCCAAGCAAAAGGCAACAACUGCCCUUGGUUGAGCAAGAUUCCUUGGGAAGCUUAUUGGAGGCCCCACCUCUAAGGACAGGCCCACAUUUGCCUUGUCUGCCAUUCUUCCCUUACUGAUGUAUUCUGACCCUGUCUUGGCUUGAUUUAUCUUUGAUGUCUUUGAUGUUGCUCAUGACCAUGCUGCCUUCUUCCUGGGAGUUCCCAUCUGGUCCUGGUUUCUGCUUCUCUUGCCUUAGCUCAUACUCAAACCCUGUGGGUAACAGCCCACGUGCAACAGUGGUCUGCAGCUCCUGAGGGCUGUUGAAAAGAUUGCUUCAUUCAAUGCCAUAAAAAUAUCCAAGAAUACAGCAAUUGUUAUAGAAAUUAUGGUAAAUCUGCACAAUGAAAUAUUAUGCAGCCACUAAAACGGACAUCAAUUCAGAUUUCUAAAUGACACAAUGUAGCAGAGACAGGGCCAGGUUCAUGGGUGUGGGUCCUACACAGUCAUACAGGGCUCCACACUUACAAGGGCCCUACACUUGGUUUAAUGCUCCAUGGCUGCCACCUUGAAAUUCUGAAUAGUUUUAUAACAAGAGUCCUCCACAUUUACAUUUCACAUUGAGCCUAUAAAUUGUUAGCUAGUCCUGAGCAGAGAUGACUCUGAGUGCCCAUUUUCUCCUGUCUUUUAGUAAUAGAACCUCCUCCCUUUGCUUCAUACAUACACCCUGACUAGUGUUUCCACGCUGGAAUUCCUUCCCAGUAUUUCUUGAGAAUUUUUUAUGUUUCUCCAAAUCUCGAAAGAAAAAUCAGUCAAGAAAUUGGGAAAAAGUAUUGUAAUUAUCCUGCAGGAAUCAAGGCUUAAUGAUCAACAUAAAGACAUCACUGGUUUGAAUCCAUCAAUGUCAAAUGAAAAGCAAGAGCAGGAAAGGCUGGCAGGUGGAAGAGCAUAUAGCACAUAGGAGAGCACAUAGGUCAAGAGCUGAUCAGUCAAUCUUGCUUGUAGCCAUUGUCCUGUUCUAAGUGUGUGUUCUUGGCCCUGACUGAUGCUAAUGGCAAGUCAUUCUUGGAAAUAAAAUAAGCAGUAUUAGGUUUAUAUGUAUGUAUACUUUAUUCAAAUCCUGCUAGUGAUGUUCUAGGAAAUAACAAAUUUGGGAAGCAAAAUACGCCCUUAAUUGGCAAUUUCAAUGUGUGAUUCUGUGUAGUGCUUUAACCUUGCUAGGAGAUCUGAAUGUCACAUUCUUUGAAUAUUACCCAAAAAUGUUCACUGGUAUUUUCUAAUGUUUGAUUUUUUUUUUAUCUCAGGCUAUAGUUGUUUAUAAAUUUGCUAAAUGUAAUAUUUCUUAUUUAUUAAACCAAUUUCUUUUAGAUAUCCACAGUAAUGACUAAAGAGUAUAAAAAUUGCUGGAAGUCUUUUAUUUUCUUCUUGUUACUUAGUUUUCAUUUUGUAAUUAUAAACUUAACUCUGCGAUCCAGCUAGACAUGGAAGAGGAUAAGGAAAAUAUGGAACCCAAAGGACUGUGCAAAGAUUAUAGGAUGCUGUGAGCAAAUGGGGUGGAAGCAUGCUUUCCUGAGCUAUAGAAGGAACGAUCUGGUGGUUCAGAUAAAACAAUCAAAUUUAUUAGAGUUGUCCACAGUCAGCAGCUGUGAUCUUCUUGCUGGUCUUACCAUUCCUGGACCCAGAGCGUUCCAGGGCUUCCACAAUACUCAUG